GGCAUUGGGCUCAAACAAUUUUAACGGCACACUUCCUGAUGAGCUGGGCAAAUUGACAAAACUUAGACAAAUAUACAUUGAUAGUAAUGACUUCAGUGGUCCUCUACCAUCGACAUUGUCACAACUGAAGAACCUCUCAGUCUUGUGGGCAUCAGACCAUAAUUU
Long non-coding RNA from Setaria italica (foxtail millet), 165 nucleotides. RefSeq lists it as uncharacterized. The transcript is spliced from 3 exons. The record is from RefSeq and is a predicted model, not a curated record. Lineage: Eukaryota; Viridiplantae; Streptophyta; Magnoliopsida; Poales; Poaceae.